Molecule: ribosomal RNA, 395 nt
Filed under: uncultured bacterium
Lineage: Bacteria
Description: bacterial SSU rRNA
Rfam family: Bacterial small subunit ribosomal RNA
Source: RNAcentral
GUGCCAGCCGCCGCGGUAAUACGGAGGGUGCAAGCGUUAUUCGGAAUUACUGGGCGUAAAGCGCGUGCAGGCGGGUGGACAAGUCUGAUGUGAAAGCCCUGGGCUCAACCCGGGAAGUGCAUUGGAAACUGUUCAUCUUGAGUGCUGGAGAGGAAGGGGGAAUUCCCGGUGUAGAGGUGAAAUUCGUAGAGAUCGGGAGGAAUACCAGUGGCGAAGGCGCCCUUCUGGACGGCAACUGACGCUGAGACGCGAAAGCGUGGGGAGCAAACAGGAUUAGAUACCCUGGUAGUCCACGCUGUAAACGAUGAGCACUAGGUGUAGCGGGUACUCAUUCCUGCUGUGCCGCAGCUAACGCGUUAAGUGCUCCGCCUGGGGAUUACGGUCGCAAGACUAAA